RNAcentral lists this ribosomal RNA (401 nucleotides) under uncultured Eubacteriales bacterium. RNAcentral's name for it is "uncultured Clostridiales bacterium partial 16S ribosomal RNA". It matches the Rfam family "Bacterial small subunit ribosomal RNA", at positions 355 to 774 of the family's 1533-position model. Lineage: Bacteria; Bacillati; Bacillota; Clostridia; Eubacteriales. The record is from RNAcentral.
UGGGGAAUAUUGCACAAUGGGCGAAAGCCUGAUGCAGCAACGCCGCGUGAGCGAUGAAGGCCUUCGGGUCGUAAAGCUCUGUCCUCAAGGAAGAUAAUGACGGUACUUGAGGAGGAAGCCCCGGCUAACUACGUGCCAGCAGCCGCGGUAAUACGUAGGGGGCUAGCGUUAUCCGGAAUUACUGGGCGUAAAGGGUGCGUAGGUGGUUCUUUAAGUCAGAAGUGAAAGGCUACGGCUCAACCGUAGUAAGCUUUUGAAACUGGAGAACUUGAGUGCAGGAGAGGAGAGUAGAAUUCCUAGUGUAGCGGUGAAAUGCGUAGAUAUUAGGAGGAAUACCAGUUGCGAAGGCGGCUCUCUGGACUGUAACUGACACUGAGGCACGAAAGCGUGGGGAGCAAACA